RNAcentral lists this ribosomal RNA (476 nucleotides) under uncultured organism. Its description in RNAcentral is "partial 16S ribosomal RNA". It matches the Rfam family "Bacterial small subunit ribosomal RNA", at positions 332 to 799 of the family's 1533-position model. The record is from RNAcentral.
UACACUCCUACGGGAGGCAGCAAUGGGGAAUAUUGCACAAUGGGCGCAAGCCUGAUGCAGCCAUGCCGCGUGUAUGAAGAAGGCCUUCGGGUUGUAAAGUACUUUCAGCGGGGAGGAAGGCGAUAAGGUUAAUAACCUUGUCGAUUGACGUUACCCGCAGAAGAAGCACCGGCUAACUCCGUGCCAGCAGCCGCGGUAAUACGGAGGGUGCAAGCGUUAAUCGGAAUUACUGGGCGUAAAGCGCACGCAGGCGGUCUGUCAAGUCGGAUGUGAAAUCCCCAGGCUCAACCUGGGAACUGCAUUCGAAACUGGCAGGCUAGAGUCUUGUAGAGGGGGGUAGAAUUCCAGGUGUAGCGGUGAAAUGCGUAGAGAUCUGGAGGAAUACCGGUGGCGAAGGCGGCCCCCUGGACAAAGACUGACGCUCAGGUGCGAAAGCGUGGGGAGCAAACAGGAUUAGAAACCCCGGUAGUCCCAUG